This 471-nucleotide ribosomal RNA is filed under the name uncultured crenarchaeote. RNAcentral describes it as "bacterial SSU rRNA". It matches the Rfam family "Archaeal small subunit ribosomal RNA", at positions 875 to 1345 of the family's 1478-position model. The record is from RNAcentral. Lineage: Archaea; Thermoproteati; Thermoproteota.
UGUGUACAAGGGGUGAAGCCUGCGGUUCAAUUGGAGUCAACGCCGGAAACCUUACCAAGGGUGACAGCAGGAUGAAGGUCACUCUAAAGAAAUUACCAGACGAGCUGAGAGGAGGUGCAUGGCCGUCGCCAGCUCGUGCCGUGAGGCGUCCUGUUAAGUCAGGAAACGAGCGAGACCCCCACUGCAAGUCGCUAUCAUUACCCGAAAGGGUGAUGGGGCUAAUUUGCAGGACCGCCAUCGCUAAGAUGGAGGAAGGAGGGGGCCACGGCAGGUCAGUAUGCCCCGAAUCCCCUGGGCCACACGCGGCAUACAAUGGCAGGGACAAUGGGCUGCCACCCCGAAAGGGGGAGCUAAUCCCCAAACCCUGCCUCAGUUGGGAUCGAGGGUUGCAACCCACCCUCGUGAACCCGGAAUCCCUAGUAAUCGCGCGUCACCAACGCGCGGUGAAUACGUCCCUGCUCCUUGUACACA